CAGCCGCCACGGUAACACCGAGGUCCCAAGCGUUGUUCGGAUUCAUUGGGCGUAAAGGGAGCGUAGGCAGUCGGGUAAGUGGGAUGUGAAAUCCUGGGGCUCAACCUCAGAACUGCAUUCCAUACUGCUUGGCUAGAGUAUUGGAGAGGUGAGUGGAAUUCACGGUGUAGCAGUGAAAUGCGUAGAUAUCGUGAGGAAGACCAGCGGCGAAGGCGGCUCACUGGACAAUUACUGACGCUGAUGCUCGAAGGCCAGGGGAGCAAACGGGAUUAGAGACCCCGGUAGUCCCUGUCUCUUAUAC
Molecule: ribosomal RNA, 301 nt
Filed under: uncultured bacterium
Lineage: Bacteria
Description: partial 16S ribosomal RNA
Rfam family: Bacterial small subunit ribosomal RNA
Source: RNAcentral